This 447-nucleotide ribosomal RNA is filed under the name uncultured bacterium. RNAcentral's name for it is "bacterial SSU rRNA". It matches the Rfam family "Bacterial small subunit ribosomal RNA", at positions 355 to 825 of the family's 1533-position model. The record is from RNAcentral.
UGGGGAAUAUUGGACAAUGGGCGAAAGCCUGAUCCAGCCAUGCCGCGUGAGUGACGAAGGCCUUAGGGUUGUAAAACUCUUUCGUCGGGGACGAUAAUGACGGUACCCGAAGAAGAAGCUCCGGCUAACUUCGUGCCAGCAGCCGCGGUAAUACGAAGGGAGCUAGCGUUGUUCGGAAUUACUGGGCGUAAAGCGCACGUAGGCGGACUGAUAAGUCAGGGGUGAAAUCCCGGGGCUCAACCUCGGAACUGCCUUUGAUACUGUUAGUCUCGAGUCCGGAAGAGGUGAGUGGAAUUCCUAGUGUAGAGGUGAAAUUCGUAGAUAUUAGGAAGAACACCAGUGGCGAAGGCGGCUCACUGGUCCGGUACUGACGCUGAGGUGCGAAAGCGUGGGGAGCAAACAGGAUUAGAUACCCAUGUAGUCCCUGAGCGGGCUGGCAAGGCGCAU